This is an RNA transcript of Helianthus annuus (common sunflower), 1655 nucleotides long. RefSeq lists it as uncharacterized. Lineage: Eukaryota; Viridiplantae; Streptophyta; Magnoliopsida; Asterales; Asteraceae. The record is from RefSeq and is a predicted model, not a curated record. The transcript has 4 exons.
UUCCCGCCUAUCUAAUUUUCACUCUCCCGCUCAUCCUUUUCACCAACAAAAUCAAAACCUUCCCCUAGUAUCUCACACACGCGCGUUGUGUGUAUUCAAACCCUAAUCCAGUGAACCAGAAUCAUCAGCAUAAUCAUGGGAAGAAGAACCGAGUCCUGGUUGGCUCAACAGUGGUCUUCUCCCACAUUCACCACAUCUCCGAAUCACAGCUGUUACAUCUCUGAGUUCCUGGUUUCUGUUUACUCAGUCUACUUCCAUUCUUUUCAUAUAAUAUGUGAGUUCAUGCUCCUCUUUCUCUACGGUUUCAUUUUGUCGUGUUUAUACCCAAUUCUGCAUCAACUUGGAUAUUUGCUUCCGAAUUGGCUGUAUUGUUGUUGUGUUCAUGCUGGUGAUGUCAUUGUUGCGACAUAUCUGGAUCCUAAAGAUCUAAUCAGAGCCGAUGCUGUUCUUGUAGAAGAAGCUGAUCUGAUUCAGAGUAUGGGUUUGUGCUCUUUAUCGUGUUGCUUUCGAUGGUAGCAUAGAUGACACUACCACUAUUCAAUUUUGAGGUUAUUGUGGUGCUCGUGUUACCUGGUCUACCUGGUCGAGUGCUUUUUAACUCAGUUUCUUUUCUUCUAAUAACACAUGGCAUAAAAUGCAAUGGUAAGAAGUUUAAAUGGAAGACCUGUUUUUCAAUCUUGUGCAAUGCUCUAACUGCAAUUACCUUUUUUGUAGACAUGUAUGCAUUCAUUAUUGGAAGUUAUGUCAUCUUGACUGUACUUGCUGGUGUAAGAUAUCUAGUUGGUCAAAUUUAAACAAGGAUAACUACAAUUUUAUUAGGUCAAAUAUUGAAAUGGUGUUCCAUUGUUGUGAAAGGUUUUGAAUUAUUCUCUAAGUGGAUAAGGCCAAAUUUCCAGUUAGAGAUGGUUCAGGAGUUCCAAGUUCCAUAUGCAAAUAUCCGGCAUGCGAGCCUAAACGAGUUCAUUGUUUAUUUAACUUUUCUUUAAUAUAUUACAUAUAUAUUUAAAUAAUGAUAGUUAUUAUUUAUUAUAUUAUAUAAAAUAACUAAAUUUUUAUAAACUAAUUAUGACUAAUAAAAAUUAACUAAUUAAUGAAAACGAGUUGAGCCCGAGCCAAGCUCAAGCGUCAAAAACUACCUACGAGCCCGAGCUUGUGCUAUAGAAGCAAAGCUCGAAUCGAGCCGAGAUCGGGCUUAGGCUCGACUCGUUUACGCUCCUAGUUAAAUUUUUAUUAGAUCCUACUUGAAAAUAACAAUCAAUCUUGUUAUCACUUGGAAGGUUCAGAAGCUAGCUUAGCAUCAGUUUUGGAAUUAAUGGAAUUUUGGCAAGGCGCAUGGUUCUAAAGCUACCGUAACGGAGGAGUUUUUUUGAUGGGCUGUUGCGAAUGGCGCUGUUGUAAUUUUGAGCGAAUGUUAUGAAGAAGUUGCUAAUGGCGCACCUGGAAAGCAUCCACAAUUGUAGCAGGUGGAUUUGGUGUGGUUGCUAGUUGCUAGGAGUGAUGAAUGUUCUAAUGUAGUUGCUACUUCAUUUGUAGAUAGUUUUUUUUUUAUUAAAAGUUUGUGUUUUUAUUAUUUACGUUAAAAAUUAUGUAUGAAUUAUGUAUGGAUUUUGGUUUAUUAUUGUUAAUAUUAUAUGUUUUUAAGUUUUCUCAUGCAU